GCGCCGGGUAGUCGCGUGUUGUGCCUUCGCUGCGUAAACAAACCUAUUGGCUCGCUGCCGUGCCAGCUGGGGCUAUGAAUAAGGACUCAGCUGACAAGAGACCAAGUUCUAGUGCAAACAGCGCGCAACAAAAAUCCCAAUGGGAAUUGCAGUGGUCUUUGUGCAUACUGGAAAACGUGCUGCAUGUUGGAUAUGUCGGCAUUCUGUUAUGCCAAAAAAAUAUAACGUUCAGCGACACUGCAAUUCAAAACUUGUGACGUGUAUAAUAGUGUUCAUGGAGACGAGCGUCUGCAAUUGAUUGCAAAGUUAAAAGAAUCCUUCAGCAAUGAGAAAUUAUAACGACAAGAAAUUAUAUACCUGGGCACGAAUACAUAACAUGCAACCUGGACCUGUCGCUAAAUAUAACUAAGGUGGCAGGCACUGCAGAUGCCGGACUGCGUCAUGUUACCAGACUGCUGCGUUCCAAGACUGGUGUUGAUAGAAGUGGAGUAGAAACCACCAUGGACAAAGAGGACAUCAGAGUCUCUUGAAGCAGCAAGGAUCACAAGACAGUGUCGAGAGUCUCCAGCGACUGCAGAAUGCGCUCAUCUCGUGAGCACCAUUCCACCAGUUCAUCGAUAGUCACCACACCAUCCUUGUUGGUAUCAAUUUGCUGCAAUCAAAAAAAUGUAAAAGUUUUAUGGAACAUCAGGUAAAGUGAAAAUUAUGCUGGGAACAUUACAGGUUCAUUCACUGGUCAUACAUGUGUACUAGUGAUGAAACAGUAUAAAAAAAAUUUACUGUGCAAAAUGAGUGAGGCAGACUUUUGUAAGAUAUAUGUGUGUCUGUUCCACCACACCUAUGCAGAUGGUGGUGAUGGUGAUGCUGUUGCUGGUCUUGAGGUGAAUGGUAUGUUUAAAUGUAUGAUAGCCAACUAUAUAGUGCCAAUAAAAAUGUUAUGGAGCUCGGCUGAAUAAAAAUGAUAAACAUGAAGAAUUUCUCAUAUAAGUAAAAUAGGACAUUUCUUGAAACCCCCCCCCCCCCCCCCCCAAGCAGUAAAUUUUUUUUACUAAGAGUAAAACAUGUAGUGAAAAAGGGAGAAACUGGAGAGACUUUGGUUUAAAAUCAUAUGGCAAAAGCGAUCUGUCUGGUGGAAUGCUGGACUAAAAUCCAAUACUCCAGUCUCUCUGCAAUUUGCUAAAACCUCCAACCUGAUGUUAGAGUUCAGAAAAUAUAUAAAAUUUUGAAAGCUUUUCCAUACCUGUACCAUUGUCACAUAAAAUAUAGUGCAGGAGUUCACUUAGCAUAUUUUUGUCCUCUUCUAAAACCAAGAGGUGCACUCGUUUAAUGUGUGGCAUACAGUGAACCAUAUAACAUAUGUUGCAUACAGCAAACCACACACCAUAAGAGCACUACACACUGAUGUCUCUUUACCUGGAGUGUAAAGCCACGUAUUGAUGGAGAUUCCCCUAUUGAGAGAUGCUGUCACGAUUUUGUCCCGCCCUAUUCAGAGAUGUGCUAUCACGAUUUCAUCUCACCUGACUGAGCAGUAUGAGGUAUGCAAUGGUCAAACUGUGGUUUUACCAGCCUUGGCUUCUUGUUCCUCACUACCAGCCCCUCAUGUCCCAUUUGUGUAGUGGCUCUUUAACUCAACAGAGAGUUGACAGCCUGCAAAGGACUGACACACUGUUAUCCCUGUAAGCCUCUUUACACUGAAGUGACAAGAGUCAUGGAUACCUCCUAAUAUUACGUCAGACCUCGUUUUGCCUGGCGUAGUGCAGCAACUUGACAUGGCAUGGACUCAACAAGUCAUUGGAGGUCCCCUGCAGAAAUAUUGAUCCAUGCUGCCUCUAUAGCCAUCUAUAAUUACAGAAGUGUUGCUGAUGCAGUUUUUUGUGCAUGAACUGACCUCUUGAUCAUGCCCCAUAUGGCCAUAUAUGCUCAAUGGUAUUCAUGUCAGGUGAUCUGGAUGGCCAAACUAUUUGCUCGAAUUGUUCAGAAAUGUUCUUCAAACCAACCUGUAGUACCUGUAGAAUAUCGAGGGAAUCAAAGCAGAUGAUAAGUUUUUUCAUGUGAUGAUGUCUGAUAUCCUCCAGCACCCUCAGGAUCAUGUAUGGCUCAGCCAUAAUUAAAGUUAUCUUAUUGGGAAGUUGAAACCUGAGUACACAGUUGAAGAAGACCACUGAGUGGCAAAUUAGGUACCUUGUUUUAAAUCAGAUGUUUACUUAUAUAUAUUAAAAAAAAACAAGUUUAAAAUUUAUAUUUUGAAAACAUCCUUCUGUUUACUAUUUUCAAUUCUUGUCCUCUUAAGAAGUCAGGAUGGAUUUUCACUCCAGCACUGCAAUAAAACAUCAAUAUUUGCCACACCUUAUUUCUAACAGAAAUUAUUUGCAUGGUUCCCAAAGGAUAUUAUUGCUUUCUGAAGGCUGUUAAAAUAGUUUUUCCAAAGUAUAAACCAAUACUUUCUGUCCAGCCUUCCAGUCUCUUAACUGGAAGAAGAUUAGGAAGUUGGAAAGAUCUCCAGAAAUAAGGGACCCUGAAUAAAGCACGUUACUAGAUGUUUGCCGUUAUUAAAAACAGGGUGACAUUUAAAAUGCUUUCAUGAGCAACAUCAUUCUUUUGUGUGAAACUAAUCUGACAGGAAGUCACCAUCUCUGUAUGUAUGAUAAUUUGGGAGGGGAAACCAUAAAAAUACCAGAAAAUGUCAUUGGAAGUCCUGUGUGUGGAUCUGACUGACUAUAUUGGCCUUUAGGCACUAUAAUAGACAUUCUUGAUGUUGUAAUUGUACAAUGUAAACUUUCACGGCUGGAAAUCCCACAGUUAAUAAAAUAUUCUGGGCUAUUUGCCGAAAACCCAUGCACACAGACCAUUACCUACACCAGGAUUUGAACCACCUCCCAUAAAAAAAGCAAGACAUAAAAAAAGUUUUUGGAUAGAACAAGGAACAUCUGUAAAUCACAGCUGCUUGACACGGAAUUAAAACACAUUACCAAUGCAAUACUCAAGAACAAUUAUUCACCCACUGCACAAAAAUUAUAGCGAUGCACAAAUGCCUGUGAAAUUAAAAGUUUUCCUGCCUUUCAUUAACAACAUUACUGAGUGCAUAGGAAAAAUCUUGGGAAAACAGAAGAUCAUGGUAAUCUACAAACCCACCCGGAAAAUAUGGCUACAUCUAAAAUUGGCCAAGGAUUCUCGCAAAGUGCUGCGAAAGGUAAAAAUUUAUAGAAUUCUGUGUAGAUUGAGGAGGUGUAUGUGGGUACUACAAAAACAACAGUUAAAAAUGACAAGAAGAGCACAAGGGCAACUACAGAAGUGGAGAGACUGACAGAUCAUCUGUUGAGGAACAUGCUUUGCAGUCAGGAAACCACCAUAUUCGUUUUCAUAGGACUUAAACACUGGCAGCCACAAGCAGAUACCAUGAAUGCCUAUACAGAGGUGCCAUACAGAGUGUUAAAUGCUCCAGGAAUUCCAGGAGGAAGUAGAACCUGAAACUGAAUGACAUCUGGAUCCUGAUGCUGAAGAAGGUGUGUAUAAACCUUCCCCCAUGGGGUGGUAGCAGCAGUGGACGAUAGUAAUCGACAACAGCUUAUUGUGUCUGGGUAUUCAAAGGAUGUGAUGUCAUGCCAUUCUAUGGGAGCCCAUCUAAAGAGAAUUUUGCAGCAGUCAGCAGUGAGCCAGGGUGUAAAUCGGACAUUCAAAGAAGCUACGAUCCCUCUUGAAAAUGUCCUCUGCAGAUGGGGCCAAAUGAAAUGUUGGGUUUUAAUGGAAAAUCCAUCCAAUAAUAGCCCAGAAUAUUUUAUCAAUUGCGAUUCUUGAUGUCACAGAUGAAGCCUGUUAGCUAAUCCAUAUUCCAUUGCUGAAUAGCUACCUCAAGCACCUUCAGGUGAAUGGUGGAAUAUCUCAUAAACGCCUAUUGAAAGUGAUUAAGGAGUUAUUUGGAUUCUAAAAUCAGGCUAAUGUUUGGAGCUGAACACCUGCUACAAGAUAUUUUCUAGUUUACAGCUAAAAAAGGCAACACUGCAAUAACUACUUUGGCAUAUAUGGCCAGCGCAAGGUUGAAAGAGGGAAUUAAAACAUCUGCUUUCCAUUAGUGGGAAACUGUUAUGAACGUGCAUUAUAAGUAAGAAUUCAAUAUCAAAUUAAAUAUUAGCAGUUCAUUGUAAGAGAAAAUGAGUAAUAACCUAUUGUGUGCCUGUAAAAUGUAACUCUGUUUUCUUUACUGUAUAUUUACUGUAUAAAAUUGUAUGUGUACCCUAACACUCUCAACUGAAAAUUAUCAGUUACU
This is a long non-coding RNA of Schistocerca piceifrons (Central American locust), 4264 nucleotides long. RefSeq lists it as uncharacterized. NCBI's taxonomy places the organism in Eukaryota, Metazoa, Arthropoda, Insecta, Orthoptera, Acrididae. The record is from RefSeq and is a predicted model, not a curated record. The transcript has 3 exons.